GGUCCUGUGGUGUAGUGGUUAUCACGUCUGCUUUACACGCAGAAGGUCGUCGGUUCGAUCCCGGCCAGGACCU
Molecule: non-coding RNA, 73 nt
Organism: Necator americanus (New World hookworm)
Lineage: Eukaryota; Metazoa; Nematoda; Chromadorea; Rhabditida; Ancylostomatidae
Source: Rfam